This 497-nucleotide ribosomal RNA is filed under the name uncultured bacterium. RNAcentral describes it as "partial 16S ribosomal RNA". It matches the Rfam family "Bacterial small subunit ribosomal RNA", at positions 28 to 507 of the family's 1533-position model. The record is from RNAcentral.
GAUGAACGCUGGCGGCGGGCCUAAUACAUGCAAGUCGAGCGAACAGACGAGGAGCUUGCUCCGCUGACGUUAGCGGCGGACGGGUGAGGAACACGUGGAUAACCGGCCUAUAAGGCUGGGAUAACGUCGGGAAAGCGGAUCUAAUACCGGACAAGAGAGUGAACGGCAUGGUUCAAUAGUGAAAGAGCGAUUUGCUGUCACUUAGUGAUGGAUCCGCGCCGCAUUAGCUAGUUGGUAAGGUAACGGCUUACCAAGGCAACGAUGCGUAGCCGACCUGAGAGGAUGAUCGGCCACACUGGAACUGAGACACGGUCCAGACUCCUACGGGAGGCAGCAGUAGGGAAUAUUGGACAAUGGGCGAAAGCCUGACGCAGCAACGCCGCGUGAGUGAUGAAGGUCUUCGGAUCGUAAAGCUCUUUAAUUUGGGAAGAACAGAAGUAUAUGUAUCUCUGCCUGUUUUGACGGUACCUACUCAGAAAGCACCGGCUAACUUCGUG